GGGCUUGACAUCCCACGAACCUGUGGAAACACGGGAGUGCCUUCGGGAGCGGAGAGACAGGUGGUGCAUGGUUGUCGUCAGCUCGUGUCGUGAGAUGUUGGGUUAAGUCCCGCAACGAGCGCAACCCUUAUGAUCAGUUACCAGCGGGUGAAGCCGGGGACUCUGGUCAGACUGCCGGUGACAAACCGGAGGAAGGUGGGGACGAUGUCAAAUCAUCAUGCUCCUUAUGUCCUGGGCUACACACGUGCUACAAUGGUCGUUACAGCGGGAAGCGAAGCCGCAAGGCGGAGCGAAGCCGAAGAAAGCGAUCCCAGUUCGGAUUGAGGGCUGCAACUCG
This 337-nucleotide ribosomal RNA is filed under the name uncultured bacterium. RNAcentral describes it as "bacterial SSU rRNA". It matches the Rfam family "Bacterial small subunit ribosomal RNA", at positions 977 to 1314 of the family's 1533-position model. The record is from RNAcentral.